RNAcentral lists this ribosomal RNA (253 nucleotides) under uncultured bacterium. RNAcentral describes it as "partial 16S ribosomal RNA". It matches the Rfam family "Bacterial small subunit ribosomal RNA", at positions 524 to 776 of the family's 1533-position model. The record is from RNAcentral.
GACGAACCGGACAAACGUUAUUCGGAAUCAUUGGGCUUAAAGGGUGCGUAGGCGGUGCAGUAAGUUGGAUGUGAAAUCUCUCGGCUCAACCGAGAAACUGCGUCCAAAACUACUGUGCUUGAGGAAGAUAGAGGUGAGCGGAACUAAUGGUGGAGCGGUGAAAUGCGUUGAUAUCAUUAGGAACACCUGUGGCGAAAGCGGCUCACUGGGUCUUUUCUGACGCUGAGGCACGAAAGCUAGGGUAGCGAACGGG